UGGGAAGAAGAAAUAGAAUAGAUCUCUCA
Molecule: non-coding RNA, 29 nt
Filed under: Rattus norvegicus (Norway rat)
Lineage: Eukaryota; Metazoa; Chordata; Mammalia; Rodentia; Muridae
Source: RNAcentral